Long non-coding RNA from Quercus robur (English oak), 1175 nucleotides. RefSeq lists it as uncharacterized. The record is from RefSeq and is a predicted model, not a curated record. The transcript has 4 exons. NCBI's taxonomy places the organism in Eukaryota, Viridiplantae, Streptophyta, Magnoliopsida, Fagales, Fagaceae.
AUAUAUAGGAUGGUGGUGGUAGUGUUAUUCCAACUCAGACCUAUUUUGCUUAGGAGUAUAAAUCAGAGUUGAGCAAAAACUUUGUCAGUCUUAUUGUUGUAGAAAAUCAGAAAAGGAAAAAGUAAUGGAGUUGGGACGUUAUUGGUGGUGGCCGGUGGUGUUAGUUUUGGUUCAUUUUGGUAUGAAUGGGUGCCUUGGUUGCUGGGAGAAAGAGAGAAUUGCUCUCUUGGAACUGAAAGCUUCCAUAGUCAACUACUCUAAUGAAUAUUAUUUUCCUCAUUGGGACUCAGCUGACAAAGAGAGUGAUUGCUGUGAGUGGGAAAAAGUCAAGUGUAACAUCACUACUGGCCGUGUAAUCCAACUUACUCUUAAUAGGAUGAUGUCUUAUUCGAGUAGAGAAAGUGGGGGAGGUUGGUACUUUAAUGCCUCUUUAUUUCUUCCAUUUGAAGAGCUCCAGUACCUCGAUUUGAGUUUUAAUUUCAUUUCUGGAUGGAUCCCAAACGAAGGUACUAAGUUUAUAUCUUAAGAAAAGUAGGUAGUAUUUGUCAAUAUUUUACUUUUUCCUAUUACCUCUUUGUUUUUUUUAAUGGAUGUGAAAAAAAUUAGUCGAAUUUUAGAAUCAUUUUAUACUGUUUUGUGGGAAUAUAUAGUUGCUGACAUGCAAAUUGAAGCAUCUAAAUUGCAGGUUUUGAAAGAUUCUCUACGUUGGGCAAGCUGGAAGUGCUUAACUUGGGUUAUAAUAAUUUUAAUAAUAGAAGUUUACAAUCCUUUAGAGGUACUAUUGCUUCGCUCAAGGAACUACAUUUGGAUCACAACAAUUUGAAUGGAUCAAUCCACAUCCAAGACUUCAAAGCAUUUAACAACUUGGAGGAGCUCUACUUGGGCGGAAAUUAUAUCAAUGACUUCGUGAAAACGGAAGAUUCAAACAACUUAAGUAAGUUGCAAGUCCUAGAUUUGAGUUACAACAAUUUUAAUGCACGAAUUCUUGAGUUAGUAGCUGCCUUCCCAUCGUUGAAGAUAUUAAAUAUUGGAGGAAACGAUUUGGAAGGAUCGUAUACUACUAAAGAGUUAGGUGCACUAAACAACCUAGAGCAGCUGUACUUGGAUGAUUCAUCAAUUGAUAAAAGCUUCCUUCACAAAGUCGGAGUUAUGAAUUCUCUUGAAGUAUUGUCAGU